This 304-nucleotide long non-coding RNA is filed under the name Malus domestica (apple). Its description in RNAcentral is "long non-coding RNA (MDOM_LNC009029)". The record is from RNAcentral. Lineage: Eukaryota; Viridiplantae; Streptophyta; Magnoliopsida; Rosales; Rosaceae.
UACAUAAACAUGUUAUCAAUCAAAUAGAUAAGUAAACCACAUUCACGAUUUAUGAAAUCAUAACUGGAGAAAAUCAAGUCAUAUAAAACAUAUGAUCAUGGCUUUGAAUUCCCCUCUAACUAUAAAGAAAUUAGUUCCUCAUGUUCGCAAAUAAACAAAGAUAAUUAAAUUUAAACAUUGACAUAAAGAUAGAAAACACCUAGAAACGCUCCAACAAUCCAAGCUCCUUGAAUGGCAUGCACGGCUCCAAGAAUCUCCUUCCUUUUCCUUUGCAAACUCACGGCACAAGAGGGAUGUUUGGGUG